This is a non-coding RNA of Pseudoalteromonas sp. P1-25, 74 nucleotides long. The record is from Rfam. Lineage: Bacteria; Pseudomonadati; Pseudomonadota; Gammaproteobacteria; Alteromonadales; Pseudoalteromonadaceae.
GCGCCCGUAGCUCAGCUGGAUAGAGCAACGCCCUUCUAAGGCGUUGGUCGAAGGUUCGAAUCCUUCCGGGUGCG